This is a non-coding RNA of Pseudonaja textilis, 2240 nucleotides long. NCBI's taxonomy places the organism in Eukaryota, Metazoa, Chordata, Lepidosauria, Squamata, Elapidae. The record is from RefSeq and is a predicted model, not a curated record.
GCCUGCUGGGAGCCGCGGGGGGGGGGCGGGGCCAUGGCCGUCUGGGGCCUGCCUGAAGGCCCGUGAGAGGCGGAGGCUUCGGCCGGGCCUCCCCUGCGGGGAAGGGGAUGCAGCCGCGACCCGCCUCCAUUUCUCCCCUGCAGGAGCACGGAGGAGCCCGGCGGAGGAAAGGAGGAGGCGCCGCUCGAGAGGAGGAGGCUGGAAAAGGCCGGCAGUCUCCGGGGCUGCAGGAGGGAUGAGUCGAAGGGGACUUCGGGAAAGGCGGCUGUCCGGAGGGCGAUGCGGGGAGAAGGACACGGGCGGAGACCCCGAGAUGGGCCUGGAGGGCGGAGAGUCCUUCGAAAGACCCGGGAAUCCCCAGAGAAUCCAGGAGGGAGGAAAGGAAUAUCAGUGCCCGGAAUGUGAAAAAUCCUUCAAAACAAAUUCACAUCUUCAGAGCCAUCUAAGGAGCCACCCAAAAGACCAACCAUUUAAAUGCCUGAAGUGCGGAAAAAGCUUCAAUCAUAGGGGCAACUUUGAUAGACAUCAAAGAAUCCACUCAGGAGAAAAGCCUCAUAAAUGCCCGGAGUGUGGAAAGAGCUUCAGUCAGUUGGGAAACCUCUCUAGACAUCAAAGGGUCCAUUCCAGAGAAAAGCCAUACAAAUGCCUGGAGUGUGGAAAGAGAUUCCAUCUGAAGGAAUACCUUUAUAGACAUCAACAAAGGAUCCACUCGGAAGAGACACUGAAUAAAUGCCUGGAGGGUGGAGGGUCCUUCGGAAGACCUGGGAAUCCCCAGAGGAUCCAGGAAGGAGAAGAGAAAUAUCAGUGCCCACAAUGCGAAAAAUCCUUCAAAAGAAACGGAGAUCUUGAAAGGCAUCUAAGAAUCCACUUAUUUGGAAACCCAUUUCAAUGCUUUGAGUGUGGAAAGAACUUCAAUCGGACAAGAGAUCUUACGCAACAUCAAAGAAUCCACACAGGAGAGAAACCUUAUAAGUGCCCGGAGUGUGAAAAGCGCUUCUGUCAUAGCAGCAGCCUUCAUAAACAUCAAAGGAUCCACUCGGAAGAGAAACUAAAUCAAUCCCUGGAGGGCGGAGGGUCCUUCCGAAGAGCCAGGAGGCCCCAAAGGAUGCAGGAGGGAGGAAAGAAAUACAAAUGCCCGGAAUGUGAAAAAUCCUUCAAAAGAAAUGGACAUCUUCAAGGCCAUCUAAGCAUCCAUUCAGGAGAAAAGAAAUACGAAUGCCCAGAAUGUGAAAAAUCCUUCAGAACAAAAGAUCUUCUUCAAAGCCAUCUAAAAAUCCACACGGGAGAAAAACCUUAUAAAUGCUUUGAGUGUGGAAAGAGCUUCCCUCACAGGAGCAGCCAUGAUAGACAUCAAAGAGUCCACACAGGAGAAAAACCUUAUAAAUGCUUUGAGUGUGGAAAGAGCUUCAGUCAGACGAGCAGCCUUAAUGCACAUCAAAGAAUCCACACAGGAGAAAAACCUCAUAAAUGCUUGGAGUGUGGAAAGAACUUUGGUCAUAGCAGCAUCCUUUAUAGACACCAAAGGAUCCACUCAGGAGAGAAACCUUAUAAGUGCCUGGAGUGUGGAAAGAACUUUGGUCAUAGCAGCAGCCUUAGUAAACAUCAAGUAAUUCAUUUACAAGAACACUACGAAUGCUGGGAAUGUGAAAAAGGCUUCAAAACCAUUCAAAUCCUUGAAAAACAUGUAAGAAUCCACUCAAUAGAACAAAUGAACAAGUGACCUUCUUCAAAGCCAUCUAAGAAAUCCACUUAGGAGAAAACCCUAAUAAAUGCCUGGCGUGUGGCAAAAGCUUCAGUCAGACAAGCAGCUGUUACGCACAUCAAAGAAUCCUCGUGGGAGAAAAAUGUCAUAAAUGUCUGACAUGAGGAAAAACCUUUGGUAAUGAGACCAUCCUCUAUGAACAUCAAAGGAUCCACUCAGGAGAGAAACCCUAUAGAUGCCUGGAGUGUGGAAAGAGUUCUGUCACAGGAGCAUCCUCUACAAGCAUCAAAGAAUCCACAUGGGAGAAAAACCUUAUAAGUGUCUGCAGUGUGGGAAGAGCUUCAACAUAAGAGGUUCUCUCUAUAGACAUCAAAUGCUUCACACAAGAGAAAACCAUAUCCGGGCCUGGAGUAUGGAAAGAGUUUCUGUGAGAGUGGAAGUCUCCACAUGGGAGAAUAACCAGAUACAGUUAGUCCUCGAUUUACAGUAGUUCAUUUAGUGACUGUUCAAAGUUACAAUGGCACUGAAAACAGUGACU